UUAGAGUUUGAUCCUGGCUCAGGAUGAACGCUAGCGGCAGGCUUAACACAUGCAAGUCGAGGGGCAGCGAGAUCAGUGCUUGCACUGAUUGUCGGCGACCAGCGCACGGGUGCGUAACGCGUAUGCAACCUACCCAUUACAGGGGGAUAACACUGAGAAAUCGGUACUAAUACCCCAUAACAUCCAGGGAGGCAUCUUCUUGGGUUGAAAACUCCGGUGGUAAUGGAUGGGCAUGCGUUGUAUUAGUUAGUUGGUGGGGUAACGGCUCACCAAGACAACGAUACAUAGGGGGACUGAGAGGUUAACCCCCCACAUUGGUACUGAGACACGGACCAAACUCCUACGGGAGGCAGCAGUGAGGAAUAUUGGUCAAUGGACGCAAGUCUGAACCAGCCAUGCCGCGUGCAGGAAGACGGCUCUAUGAGUUGUAAACUGCUUUUGUACGAGGGUAAACGCAGAUACGCGUAUCUGUCUGAAAGUAUCGUACGAAUAAGGAUCGGCUAACUCCGUGCCAGCAGCCGCGGUAAUACGGAGGAUUCAAGCGUUAUCCGGAUUUAUUGGGUUUAAAGGGUGCGUAGGCGGUCGGAUAAGUUAGAGGUGAAAUCCCGGGGCUCAACUUCGGAAUUGCCUCUGAUACUGUUCGGCUAGAGAGUAGUUGCGGUAGGCGGAAUGUAUGGUGUAGCGGUGAAAUGCUUAGAGAUCAUACAGAACACCGAUUGCGAAGGCAGCUUACCAAGCUACUUCUGACGUUGAGGCACGAAAGCGUGGGGAGCAAACAGGAUUAGAUACCCUGGUAGUCCACGCAGUAAACGAUGAUAACUCGUUGUCGGCGAUACAGUGUCGGUGACUAAGCGAAAGCGAUAAGUUAUCCACCUGGGGAGUACGUUCGCAAGAAUGAAACUCAAAGGAAUUGACGGGGGCCCGCACAAGCGGAGGAACAUGUGGUUUAAUUCGAUGAUACGCGAGGAACCUUACCCGGGCUUGAAAGUUAGUGACGGAUCUUGAAAGAGGUCUUCCCUUCGGGGCACGAAACUAGGUGCUGCAUGGUUGUCGUCAGCUCGUGCCGUGAGGUGUCGGGUUAAGUCCCAUAACGAGCGCAACCCCUACCGUUAGUUGCCAGCAGGUCAAGCUGGGCACUCUGACGGGACUGCCGGUGUAAGCCGAGAGGAAGGUGGGGAUGACGUCAAAUCAGCACGGCCCUUACGUCCGGGGCUACACACGUGUUACAAUGGCAGGUACAGAGGGCAGCUACCCAGCGAUGGGAUGCGAAUCUCGAAAGCCUGUCUCAGUUCGGAUUGGAGGCUGAAACCCGCCUCCAUGAAGUUGGAUUCGCUAGUAAUCGCGCAUCAGCCAUGGCGCGGUGAAUACGUUCCCGGGCCUUGCACACACCGCCCGUCAAG
Molecule: ribosomal RNA, 1400 nt
Filed under: uncultured bacterium
Lineage: Bacteria
Description: bacterial SSU rRNA
Rfam family: Bacterial small subunit ribosomal RNA
Source: RNAcentral